Molecule: ribosomal RNA, 1218 nt
Filed under: Asida sabulosa
Lineage: Eukaryota; Metazoa; Arthropoda; Insecta; Coleoptera; Tenebrionidae
Description: SSU rRNA
Rfam family: Eukaryotic small subunit ribosomal RNA
Source: RNAcentral
UUGUCUCAAAGAUUAAGCCAUGCAUGUCUCAGUACAAGCCGAAUUAAGGUGAAACCGCGAAAGGCUCAUUAAAUCAGUUAUGGUUCCUUAGAUCGUACCCACAUUUACUUGGAUAACUGUGGUAAUUCUAGAGCUAAUACAUGCAAACAGAGCUCCGACCGGAGACGGAAGGAGCGCUUUUAUUAGAUCAAAACCAAUCGGUGGCGGUUUCCGUCAUCGUACAACUUGGUGACUCUGAAUAACUUUACGCUGAUCGCACGGUCUCGCACCGGCGACGCAUCUUUCAAAUGUCUGCCUUAUCAACUGUCGAUGGUAGGUUCUGCGCCUACCAUGGUUGUAACGGGUAACGGGGAAUCAGGGUUCGAUUCCGGAGAGGGAGCCUGAGAAACGGCUACCACAUCCAAGGAAGGCAGCAGGCGCGCAAAUUACCCACUCCCGGCACGGGGAGGUAGUGACGAAAAAUAACGAUACGGGACUCAUCCGAGGCCCCGUAAUCGGAAUGAGUACACUCUAAACCCUUUAACGAGGAUCAAUUGGAGGGCAAGUCUGGUGCCAGCAGCCGCGGUAAUUCCAGCUCCAAUAGCGUAUAUUAAAGUUGUUGCGGUUAAAAAGCUCGUAGUCGAAUCUGUGUCCCGCGCCGCCGGUUCAUCGUUCGCGGUGUUAACUGGCGUGCCGCGGGACGUCCUGCCGGUGGGCUUAGCUCGCGAGAGCGGCCCAACUCAAUCCCGCCGCGGUGCUCUUCAUUGAGUGUCGAGGUGGGCCGGCACGUUUACUUUGAACAAAUUAGAGUGCUUAAAGCAGGCUAAAACUUCGCCUGAAUACUGUGUGCAUGGAAUAAUGGAAUAGGACCUCGGUUCUAUUUUGUUGGUUUUCGGAACCCCGAGGUAAUGAUUAAUAGGAACGGAUGGGGGCAUUCGUAUUGCGACGUUAGAGGUGAAAUUCUUGGAUCGUCGCAAGACGGACAGAAGCGAAAGCAUUUGCCAAAAACGCUUUCAUUGAUCAAGAACGAAAGUUAGAGGUUCGAAGGCGAUCAGAUACCGCCCUAGUUCUAACCAUAAACGAUGCCAGCUAGCGAUCCGCCGACGUUCCUCCGAUGACUCGGCGGGCAGCUUCCGGGAAACCAAAGCUUUUGGGUUCCGGGGGAAGUAUGGUUGCAAAGCUGAAACUUAAAGGAAUUGACGGAAGGGCACCACCAGGAGUGGAGCCUGCGGCUUAAUU